RNAcentral lists this transfer RNA (65 nucleotides) under Geoscapheus woodwardi. RNAcentral describes it as "tRNA-Ala". Lineage: Eukaryota; Metazoa; Arthropoda; Insecta; Blattodea; Blaberidae. RNAcentral also lists the same sequence under 5 other names. The record is from RNAcentral.
AGGAUAGUAGUUAAUUAUAACAUUUGAAUUGCACUCAAAAAGUAUUGAAUUUUCAAUCUAUCUUG